RNAcentral lists this long non-coding RNA (512 nucleotides) under Fukomys damarensis (Damara mole-rat). RNAcentral describes it as "lncRNA (ENSFDAG00000025328.1)". Lineage: Eukaryota; Metazoa; Chordata; Mammalia; Rodentia; Bathyergidae. The record is from RNAcentral.
GAAUUUCAACUUUUAUUGCUCCUGAAUUAGACUUCCCUUUGUAGUCAUGCUGUUUGCAGAUGCGUCUAUUCAUAUUGCCUGCAGCUGCGAAGCAAGGCAGGGCUUCAUUUGCAAGAAUUCCUGUGCAGCCGAAGAUUCAGAAGUGCUGUCUUGGAAGCAGUUUCCUUUCCCUUGGUCCUUUCAAUAAACAGUUUAAUCAUGCUCCAGGGCUAAUUGCUUUAAUUUCCUCUUGCACAAGUGUUUCCGGGCUUUCUGACCUGGCUGCUUCAGAGGCAGUGUCCAGAUUCACCAGAGACAGCACUGGGCAACGCUGAAGAGGCCUCGCAGCUCCCCACUGCCCUGCCUGUGACAAACACUGCUUCCAUCUGCAAAGUGCUUCCGAAGUCUAAUUUCCAGAUCGUUCACAGCUUCAUUACACAUAUUCUUCCAGAAAUGCUGUACACAUUCAGCAAAUGUUUGUUGAAGCUGCUUUGUCUAAAGAAAUAAAAACAAAAAUAAUGUUCAGGGCACCA